UACGUAGGCAGCGUGCGUUGUUCGGAAUUACUGGGCUUAAAGAGUGUGUAGGUGGUGCUCUAAGUUUGGUGUGAAAUCUCCCGGCUCAACCGGGAGGGUGCAUCGAAAACUGGAAUGCUCGAGGAUGGGAGAGGGAAGCGGAAUUCCUGGUGUAGCGGUGAAAUGCGUAGAUAUCAGGAGGAACACCUGUGGUGUAGACAGCUUACUGGACCAUUUCUGACACUGAGACACGAAAGCGUGGGUAGCAAACAGG
Molecule: ribosomal RNA, 253 nt
Filed under: uncultured bacterium
Lineage: Bacteria
Description: partial 16S ribosomal RNA
Rfam family: Bacterial small subunit ribosomal RNA
Source: RNAcentral